GAGUUUGAUCCUGGCUCAGAUUGAACGCUGGCGGCAGGCCUAACACAUGCAAGUCGAGCGGAUGAAGGGAGCUUGCUCCUGGAUUCAGCGGCGGACGGGUGAGUAAUGCCUAGGAAUCUGCCUGGUAGUGGGGGAUAACGUCCGGAAACGGGCGCUAAUACCGCAUACGUCCUGAGGGAGAAAGUGGGGGAUCUUCGGACCUCACGCUAUCAGAUGAGCCUAGGUCGGAUUAGCUAGUUGGUGGGUAAAGGCCUACCAAGGCGACGAUCCGUAACUGGUCUGAGAGGAUGAUCAGUCACACUGGAACUGAGACACGGUCCAGACUCCUACGGGAGGCAGCAGUGGGGAAUAUUGGACAAUGGGCGAAAGCCUGAUCCAGCCAUGCCGCGUGUGUGAAGAAGGUCUUCGGAUUGUAAAGCACUUUAAGUUGGGAGGAAGGGCAGUAAGUUAAUACCUUGCUGUUUUGACGUUACCAACAGAAUAAGCACCGGCUAACUUCGUGCCAGCCGCCGCA
This 514-nucleotide ribosomal RNA is filed under the name uncultured microorganism. RNAcentral describes it as "bacterial SSU rRNA". It matches the Rfam family "Bacterial small subunit ribosomal RNA", at positions 9 to 519 of the family's 1533-position model. The record is from RNAcentral.